ACCAAAGAAAAGUGUCGUAUGGCGGCCGGUCUUGGGGUUUUUUGAAAUUUUGGCUAGAAAAAAUGAUUUUAUUGUGUAUUGUUGGUUCCCAAUAUUUUCCUAAGGCUCUGCUCGACCGUUUGUAAUAACAUGUUAAUAAUAGCACACACGAGCACACAGUCUUCAUGCGUCCUUUCACACAAGUGGAAAAGGUGGAGAUCCCAGACAAUGGUGCUUAAUUGGUAUUGGAAGUGACUAUGGUGAGGCUUAAUCAUCAACCAAGGGUUAAAUACGAUGCAGGAAGCUAAAUAGGCAUCGAGAGGCAAAGAUUUAUGGUAAAUGGAGGCUUCAAUAAAACAGUUCAUCCCUAUCUACAACUACAACUUUGAAACUAAACAAAGAGACUUUAUCUUCGUGGCAGUUAUUGGUUAUGUCCUUCAUCAACCGCAACAGUUUGAAGAAGAUGCCAUCACAUUGAUUAAAUUCAACAGUGGAUUGAGGAUGAAAUUCAACAUUAAAGAGAAAUUAAAUAAUUUUAGAUUUUCCAGGGCAGUACAUUUUUAUCCUUUUGAUCCAUAUCCUAACCAACAAUGCAUCAGGACUUUUAAGUAUAUUUAAAAUUUUAUUUCUUUUCGGAUAAAUAUAUUUCAACUGUUUAUUAUUUUUAAAUUUGAUUAAGUAGGAAGAAAAUCCAAUGAGUCUCUGAGUUACAUUUUUAUGAUUCUUUAUUAUCAGACCAUCUAUUUUUAUUUUGGGAAUAUUUGGCUUUUGGCCACUUCAUUUUCUUUUUUGUAAAUUUUUGAAAACAUCCACUUAGAACUUUACUUCAAGUUGUUUUUGGUUUAUUUUUAUUUCUCUGUAAUAGCUUGACUCUCAUAUUUUCUUGCUUAUAGGAAUGUCAGUAUUUCUAUAGGUUUUAUUCGUUUGGUAAAUGCAUGUUUAAGUAAAUGGUAUAUUUACUUAAAUGGUAGUAGGAUUUUACUUCAUGUUGUUUAUGGUUAACUUUUAUUUCUCUAUAACAGCUUGAUUUCUAUAUUUUAUUCAUUGUGGGAAUAAUAAAAUCAUUUAGCGAUUCUAUGAUAUAUUCCAUUGACUGCAUUUCUGUAAGUCUUAUUUUAUUUGUAUUAUUUCUCUUAUGGUUUCAUUUGAUUCUUUUAAUAUUUUUUGGUUGGAUAAUUUCUUCUGCAGAUGUUUAGUUUUGAUGGAUUUCAUUUUCAUGUCGUUUUUCCCAGAUUGUAUGUCAUGAAUUGCUAUAAUUUUAUGGAUUCUGUUGUUUUAGUUUGCCUGUGUUUGAAUAUAACAUAAACACACAAUAACACACUUAAAAAUCUCACAGUAAGGACUAUUUUCCAGUAAAUUCCUGGCGCAUUCGCCAUUUAUUCAAAAAAUCUGUCACUUUUCUUGUUCUUUGCAUUUUUCCAAUAAAUUUUCCUGAUUACCAUCGACUCCAGAGCAUCACAGCUAGCCUCCCCGCAAAAGAGGAGGCCUGGGUCGCUCCCUAACCCUGAUGUUCGGCCAUCGAUGACCUGUGUAGCAUGCAUGGGUACCCAAGGGUAUAUACCCAAAGGUCUUUUUGCAUAUAUUCUCACUUAUAACAUAUUCAUUUCUGUCAUAUUUUCUUUAUAUUUGGAAUAUCAUCAUUCCUCAAUUCUAUAAACUCUUCCCAGUUAUUGUCUUAUAUAUUUGUAUAUUUUUAUUUUGUCAUUCUUCUGAUACUUUUCUAAGGCAUACUUAGAAAAUCAUUCAACACAUUUCUAUUGUCUGUAUAAAAUUAUUGCUUUUUUAUCAAUUUUCGUCCUAUUUUUCUAAAAUCAUCCCUCAUUUUCGUGGCAUAUUUUCCAACUCAUCCCUUUUAUUUAUUUUAUUUUUCACUCAUAGUUUAUUAUUGGAAUAUCAUCAUUUACUCUUCUAUUUGUUUGUUUUAUUCAUUACUGUUAUCCUCCUAAGACGUAGUAUUUCAACAGAUCUAUUCCCUGUAAUAUAUUUUUUAUUAUUUUUCAAUGCAUCAUAUCUCUAAGUUGCUUUUUGUCUCCCAUUUUUUCUUCCUUGUGGGAAUGGCAUUAGUCAGCAAUUCUAAAAACUCUUCCAUUGAAAGUUAAGGUUGCCUCAUAUGUAUAUAAUUUUAUAUUUUUUGUGUCAUUUUUCUGAAACUUUUCUAAAUUCAUUCAAAGCCCUCCAUAGACUACACGUAUUAGUGUUUGAAUUCUUUAAUUUGUAGUUUUCCACCUUUUUUAAAUAUUACAAUUAAAAUAUUUCUUAAUUACGAAUGCAGUCAACUCAGCCAUGUUUUUUAUUGUAUUGCUAUAAAAAAAGUUUUCUAUGUUACGAAAAAUUGCUAUAUAAUACCUACUACCCUAUUAAUUUACUGAAAAUGUAAAGUUAUUGAAGUAAUAGAUUUUAAUCAAGUAUGUUAAGCGGGUCACACACGACCAGUAUUAUUGACAGUAUUUCCAAAAAUUGUCAGUAAUAUUGACCGUGUGAAGGAAAACAUACUGAUGGGAUUGUCAGUAUACCAAUAUACUUUGGAAAUCUUGAAAGUGUUUUGGGAUACUGACAAUACUCAAUGCAAUCAAUAAUACUGAUCGUGUGAGGCCCGCUUUAGUGAACAAACAAUUAAUUAUUUCUUAUAUAUUUUCCUUACAGAACCUUACAGUUUCAUUUUUUCCUACUUCUUAGAACCUACUUUCAUAUUGUAUAUUUUUUUGUCGCAACAAAACCAUGUUCUUUUUUGCUUUACUGCAUUCAACGAAUAAAAAUACAAAAGAAAAUUAUAAAAAUAAUAACAAACAAGUUUAUUGCAACAAAUAAAGACAGAAUUUUUGAAGAUAUAAUUGAUAAAUCAAUAUUUAUUUACUCUAAUUUUAUUUAUUAUACUUGUUUAUAUAAAAUUCAACUAAGUGAAUAUGUUCUCAAUCUAUUUUUAACGUUAUAAUUAAGAAUUUCGUAAUUAACACGUUAAUAUAAGCUCCAAAAGAAAA
Molecule: long non-coding RNA, 2957 nt
Filed under: Sitophilus oryzae (rice weevil)
Lineage: Eukaryota; Metazoa; Arthropoda; Insecta; Coleoptera; Curculionidae
Description: uncharacterized LOC115888004
Source: RNAcentral